ACACACACAGAUGCCGUCAGGCCUUCCGUCCAACAAGAAGUGUCUACCCUGCACCUCAUGAACAGCAUCACCACCACCACCACCACCACCACCACCACUAACAAAACCGGCGCAAGGCCGCAAAAUCCCUAGAGAGAAUCCCCAUCCAUCUCCACUCCACUGAAUCCAGUUCCAACCAGCCGGUUGAAUUCCCAACCGUCGUGCUAACUAACUAGCCAUCUGGCUGUCUAGACUCUGUACCGGGCUCCCCGCAUCACCCAUCGAAGUCCGAGCGCCAGUACUGCGAUGUGCCGGGGUACAUGAUGUCUGCGUUUGGUGGAAAAAAGGGGGGAAGGGGGAGAGGUGGGAAAGAGAGAACGGGGAGGGAAAGACGAACCACGAACGAGCAACCAGGUGAUGCCAAGGAUAUGCAGACUGAUACGCCAGAAGAAAGGGUAUAUGCGUGAAAUCGAAGAGGUGCAGCUGGGUUAUGGAGAGGAGAGGUGGUCCAAACCCCGGGGCUUGGCAGUUGCGUGUUGUGAGCUGGACACACGCAAAUGCUGAUGGUGGUAACGGUAACGGUAACAGUAGCGCUAACGGUAAUAACGAAAAAUACCCCUACAAUCCCAAAGGCCGGCUCUACACAUCACUGGCCGGCUCUGCUUCGCAUCGUCGCCAUGCACAUGCAAAACAAUGUGUUUCAGUGUAAUGCAAACAACCUCUUCGGGGGAUGGUGGUCUUGAUAACCAAAAAGGCAACAGGCCCCCAGGCCGCCAGGGCGCCCUUCAGGUUCCAGCUGCGCCGUGCGGCAGCGUCGUGUCCCUCCGAAACCACCACGAGCCCCCCCCUCCUUCCCACGCACCCGCUAGCCCAACGAAGCACCCGCGCGAGACGCUCAUGUCGUGACGUUUCAGGACACAGCUGGUGUGGUGUUGGUGUUGGGGUUGCUGCCACUUCCUGCCCCCUCCUCUCUCCCCUCCCCCUCCUCCCUCUCCUCCCUCUCCUCUCUCUCCUCCUCCCUCCCUCCCCUCCCUUUCCCCCUCCCCUCCCUUUCCCCCUCUCCUCCCUUUCCCCCUCCCCUCCCCCUCCUCCCUCUCCUCUCUCUCCUCCUCCCUCCCUCCCCUCCCUUUCCCCCUCCCCUCCCUUUCCCCCUCCCCUCCCUUUCCCCCUCCCCUCCCUUUCCCCCUCCCCUCCCUUUCCCCCUCCCCUCCCUUUCCCCCUCCCCUCCCUUUCCCCCUCCCCUCCCUUUCCCCCUCCCCUCCCCCUCCUCCCUCUCCUCUCUCUCCUCCUCCCUCCCUCCCCUCCCUUUCCCCCUCCCCUCCCCUCACUGGUCGGCAAUCAUCGGCUCAAGUCGCUCUACUCAGAGUUUAAUUAUAGUCCAUAGUCCUCGUUACGUCGUCGUUACCUCAUCCUCUUCUUCGGCAUCGUCUUCGUCUUCGUUACCAUGGCCCUCGUCCCUUCGGUUUCCGCGUCCACCGACCUCAGCCAGCGCGAG
RNAcentral lists this long non-coding RNA (1474 nucleotides) under Volvox carteri. Its description in RNAcentral is "long non-coding RNA (VCAR_LNC002798)". The record is from RNAcentral. Lineage: Eukaryota; Viridiplantae; Chlorophyta; Chlorophyceae; Chlamydomonadales; Volvocaceae.